RNAcentral lists this ribosomal RNA (330 nucleotides) under uncultured bacterium. RNAcentral describes it as "bacterial SSU rRNA". It matches the Rfam family "Bacterial small subunit ribosomal RNA", at positions 568 to 898 of the family's 1533-position model. The record is from RNAcentral.
UCCGUAGGCGGUGCGGCAAGUCGGAAGUGAAAUCUCAGGGCUUAACCCUGAGGCUGCUUCCGAAACUGCCGUGCUCGAGUGCGAGAGAGGCGAGUGGAAUUGCAGGUGUAGCGGUGAAAUGCGUAGAUAUCUGCAGGAACAUCCGAGGCGAAAGCGGCUCGCUGGAUCGCAACUGACGCUGAGGGACGAAAGCUAGGGGAGCAAACAGGAUUAGAUACCCUGGUAGUCCUAGCCCUAAACGAUCAGGACUGGGCGUGGGCCUCGUGCGGGGCUCGUGCCGCAGCUAACGCGUUAAGUCCUGCGCCUGGGGAGUACGGUCGCAAGGCUGAA